CAUCACUCGAUUUUGCGGUAGAGGAUCGCGUGAGAAGUCGGCCGUACAAAUUAAUGUAUAUGUCGUUGUUGUCACUAUUCCCAUAAUAAUAUAACCCUUUCUCGCUAUUAUAUCGUGGGUGUGGCAUGACUAUCUAUAAACACGAGUACGGCUACUUUUUUUUAUUAUUAUUAUUUCGACUGUGAUUGUAGUCGGCGUUGGUCUUAUUCUUGUUGUAUAAAUAGUAAAAUAAUAAUUUCUUCUUGAUCUGUCCACGCAAAAUAUAAUCAGUAUAGCCGUCGUGAAAUAUUUAAAAAACAAAAAGCAGAAAAUUCGAGAACGCGUAGUCGUGUAAAAUGUAAGUAAUAGCCGAUAUAAUACUGUAACAGUAUUAUUAGUCUAAGCCUCUAGGGCUGAUAAAUUGCAAUUGAUGAUUACCCAUUUAUGUCUUAAUAAAAUUCUUAGCUCAGCAACACUAUAUUUGAAGUACUUACUAAGUACUUGGGCAUCUUGCGUACUCGCGUUAAGUUCUAUAGAAAAUAAUGUUGAUUUUUGAAAUGGCUGCAAUGUACCACAAGCAGAACGACCAUUAAAUAUAAUAUCUUUCCCUCUCUUAUUAUUAUUUCUUCUCAGAUUAUACUGUAGCUUCAUUCCAUUCAUUCCACUUUUCUUUUCAGUAACUAUAUAGCAAAUACUAAUCGUAUUUUUCAUACUUUAUGAUCUCAGCUAAAAUCAUCGUUUUCUUAUGUGUUGGUUCUUCCCUUCAUCACUCCCCUCUAUAAACAAUUUCAACAGACUUUCAUAUCUCUGAUUAUAUGACCAAUCUACCCCAGUUGAACCAGUCACAUCCAUACAGUUUUUUUUUAACACAACUCUUUUACAGCACUGCAUUUCAAACGCAUUUAUUUUAGAUUCUGAGCGGAGUGAGGAAUGUAUUGGUUUUAAAAUGAUAUUUAUGUGUAUAUUUAUUUUUUUUGUCUGUUAACAACUUUUCUACCAGAAAUUUUAUUCCGAUUUUCAAAUGUAGAACCUUUUCUGAAAUUAAAUUUGACUGGGAUGGUACUUUAUGGAAGUCAUUUUUUGAUUUUAUAAGGGGUUUUCAUAAUAGAUGGGAAAAACCGGAAAAAAACAUAGGAAAAACGAAAAAAUUUACGAACUGUAUUAUUUUCAAAUCGUAAAUAUUAAAGCCUAUCAAAACAUGUGUAACCAAACUUCGCUCAGAAUCAUUUUUCGUUAGCAAAGGUUAAUAUUUGCGUUCAGAUAUAUUUUAAAUUUCCACUCUACCUUUCAAACUUCUCACCUACAACUUUUUUUUUUUUGAUUUUUCUUCAAAAUAAAUAUCCAUAAUUAAAGCCCGGAUUUAUAUUCUUUUGAAAUAGCCAAAAUAUGAUUUUUAUCUCUUAAUAUUUUG
Cinara cedri is the source of this 1390-nucleotide non-coding RNA. The record is from the annotation of a GenBank genome assembly. NCBI's taxonomy places the organism in Eukaryota, Metazoa, Arthropoda, Insecta, Hemiptera, Aphididae.